Long non-coding RNA from Clarias gariepinus (North African catfish), 379 nucleotides. RefSeq lists it as uncharacterized. The transcript has 3 exons. The record is from RefSeq and is a predicted model, not a curated record. Lineage: Eukaryota; Metazoa; Chordata; Actinopteri; Siluriformes; Clariidae.
CAGUAUGUUACUGUAUCAGGAGCCUUUAAUGUGUUGCAGGGGAAGCGUGACUGCAGACUUGCUCUUGGCUUUGGUGUGUGUGAUCCUGAGCUAAAGCCUUACAACUGCAAUUCUACAUCUCACACAGAGCUCCUGUUUAUGGUUUAUCAGGCCCAGCGUGUGGUUCUGGUUCUGUCAUUUCUGUCAGAGUCUCCCUUGAGCCCGUCUCAGGCUGUCCUCCUGUACCAGCGGUGCCACUUGCUCCUGACCUGCAUGCAGCACAACCCCUGUGUGAACACCUCCAUUAUUACAGAACUUAAAGAAGAGUUCAGGUGAGAGAGUCUGUUGUGGACGACUGGGUUUUAUAAGACGGUGUACAAGCCGAGACAAACAAAUGAGC